RNAcentral lists this ribosomal RNA (520 nucleotides) under uncultured Glomus. RNAcentral describes it as "SSU rRNA". It matches the Rfam family "Eukaryotic small subunit ribosomal RNA", at positions 569 to 1090 of the family's 1831-position model. The record is from RNAcentral. Lineage: Eukaryota; Fungi; Glomeromycota; Glomeromycetes; Glomerales; Glomeraceae.
AGCAGCCGCGGUAAUUCCAGCUCCAAUAGCAUAUAUUAAAGUUGUUGCAGUUAAAAAGCUCGUAGUUGAAUUUCGGGGUUAGUAGGUUGGUCGUGCCACUGGUACGUACUGGUCUCACUGAUUCCUCCUUCCUGAUGAACUGUAAUGCCAUUAAUUUGGUGUUGCAGGGAAACUGGACUGUUACUUUGAAAAAAUUAGAGUGUUUAAAGCAAGCUAACGCUUGAAUACAUUAGCAUGGAAUAAUGAAAUAGGACGUUCGAUCCUAUUUUGUUGGUUUCUAGGAUUGACGUAAUGAUUAAUAGGGAUAGUUGGGGGCAUUAGUAUUCAAUUGUCAGAGGUGAAAUUCUUGGAUUUAUUGAAGACUAACUACUGCGAAAGCAUUUGCCAAGGAUGUUUUCAUUAAUCAAGAACGAAAGUUAGGGGAUCGAAGACGAUCAGAUACCGUCGUAGUCUUAACCAUAAACUAUGCCGACUAGGGAUCGGAUGAUGUUAAUUUUUUAAUGACUCAUUCGGCGCCUUA